GAUGAACGCUGGCGGUCUGCUUAACACAUGCAAGUCGAACGAACUCUUCGGAGUGAGUGGCGGACGGGUGAGUAACGCGUGAGAAUCUGCCUGUGGGUCGGGGACAACUACUGGAAACGGUGGCUAAUACCGGAUGAGCCGAAAGGUAAAAGAUUUAUGCCCACAGAUGAGCUCGCGUCUGAUUAGCUAGUUGGUGGGGAAACCCUACCAAGCCUACGAUCUAUAGCUGGUUUUAGAGGAUGAGCAGCCACACUGGGACUGAGACACGGCCCAGACUCCUACGGGAGGCAGCAGUGGGGAAUUUUCCGCAAUGGGCGAAA
RNAcentral lists this ribosomal RNA (320 nucleotides) under uncultured bacterium. RNAcentral's name for it is "bacterial SSU rRNA". It matches the Rfam family "Bacterial small subunit ribosomal RNA", at positions 28 to 380 of the family's 1533-position model. The record is from RNAcentral.